CUGGCUCAGGAUGAACGCUGGCGGCGUGCCUAACACAUGCAAGUCGAACGGAGAAUAUACGUUUCAGAAGCUUCGGCAGAUGAUUGUAUAUUCUUAGUGGCGG
This 103-nucleotide ribosomal RNA is filed under the name Butyrivibrio sp. Su6. RNAcentral describes it as "16S rRNA. Bacterial SSU". The record is from RNAcentral. Lineage: Bacteria; Bacillati; Bacillota; Clostridia; Lachnospirales; Lachnospiraceae.